UACGGAGGGUGCAAGCGUUAUCCGGAUUCACUGGGCUUAAAGGGUGCGUAGGCGGCUAGGUAAGUCCGUGGUGAAAUCCUGCAGCUUAACUGCAGAACUGCCAUGGAUACUAUUUAUCUUGAAUGUCGUGGAGGUUAGCAGAAUAUGUCAUGUAGCGGUGAAAUGCUUAGAUAUGACAUAGAAUACCCAUUGCGAAGGCAGCUAACUACGCGAUAAUUGACGCUGAUGCACGAAAGCGUGGGGAUCAAACAGG
This 253-nucleotide ribosomal RNA is filed under the name uncultured bacterium. RNAcentral's name for it is "partial 16S ribosomal RNA". It matches the Rfam family "Bacterial small subunit ribosomal RNA", at positions 524 to 776 of the family's 1533-position model. The record is from RNAcentral.